This 497-nucleotide ribosomal RNA is filed under the name uncultured bacterium. Its description in RNAcentral is "partial 16S ribosomal RNA". It matches the Rfam family "Bacterial small subunit ribosomal RNA", at positions 28 to 507 of the family's 1533-position model. The record is from RNAcentral.
GAUGAACGCUGGCGGCGUGCCUAAUACAUGCAAGUCGAGCGAACGGACGAGAAGCUUGCUUCUCUGAUGUUAGCGGCGGACGGGUGAGUAACACGUGGAUAACCUACCUAUAAGACUGGGAUAACUUCGGGAAACCGUAGCUAAUACCGGAUAAUAUUUUGAACCGCAUGGUUCAAAAGUGAAAGACGGUCUUGCGGUCACUUAUAGAUGGAUCCGCGCUGCAUUAGCUAGUUGGUAAGGUAACGGCUUACCAAGGCAACGAUGCAUAGCCGACCUGAGAGGGUGAUCGGCCACACUGGGACUGAGACACGGUCCAGACUCCUACGGGAGGCAGCAGUAGGGAAUCUUCCGCAAUGGGCGAAAGCCUGACGGAGCCACGCCGCGUGAGUGAUGAAGGUCUUCGGGUCGUAAAACUCUGUUAUUAGGGACGAACAUAUGUGUAAGUAACUAUGCACAUCUUGACGGUACCUAAACAGAAAGCCACGGCUAACUACGUG